RNAcentral lists this ribosomal RNA (468 nucleotides) under uncultured bacterium. RNAcentral's name for it is "partial 16S ribosomal RNA". It matches the Rfam family "Bacterial small subunit ribosomal RNA", at positions 28 to 507 of the family's 1533-position model. The record is from RNAcentral.
GACGAACGCUGGCGGCGUGCUUAACACAUGCAAGUCGAACGGAAAGGCCCUGCUUUUGUGGGGUGCUCGAGUGGCGAACGGGUGAGUAACACGUGAGUAACCUGCCCUUGACUUUGGGAUAACUUCAGGAGACUGGGGCUAAUACCGGAUAGGAGCUCCUGCUGCAUGGUGGGGGUUGGAAAGUUUCGGCGGUUGUGGAUGGACUCGCGGCUUAUCAGCUUGUUGGUGGGGUAGUGGCUUACCAAGGCUUUGACGGGUAGCCGGCCUGAGAGGGUGACCGGCCACAUGGGGACUGAGAUACGGCCCAGACUCCUACGGGAGGCAGCAGUGGGGAAUAUUGCAGAAUGGGCGGAAGCCUGAUGCAGCAACGCCGCGUGCGUGAUGACGGCCUUCGGGUUGUAAACCGCUUUCGCCUGUGACGAAGCGUGAGUGACGGUAAUGGGUAAAGAAGCACCGGCUAACUACGUG